Molecule: transfer RNA, 82 nt
Filed under: Nematostella vectensis (starlet sea anemone)
Lineage: Eukaryota; Metazoa; Cnidaria; Anthozoa; Actiniaria; Edwardsiidae
Rfam family: tRNA
About the family: Transfer RNA (tRNA) molecules are approximately 80 nucleotides in length.
Source: Rfam by way of RNAcentral
GUUGCAGUGGCCGAGUGGUUAAGGCGUUGGACAAGAAAAUCAAUGGGAUCUUCCCGCGCAGGUUCGAAUCCUGCCCGCAACG